AUUGAACGCUGGCGGCAGGCCUAACACAUGCAAGUCGAGCGGAUGAAGGGUGCUUGCUCCUGGAUUCAGCGGCGGACGGGUGAGUAAUGCCUAGGAAUCUGCCUGGUAGCGGGGGAUAACGUCCGGAAACGGGCGCUAAUACCGCAUACGUCCUGAGGGAGAAAGUGGGGGAUCUUCGGAUCUCACGCUAUCAGAUGAGACUAGGUCGGAUUAGCUAGUUGGUGGGGUAAAGGCCUACCAAGGCGACGAUCCGUGACUGGUCUGAGAGGAUGAUCAGUCACACUGGAACUGAGACACGGUCCAGACUCCUACGGGAGGCAGCAGUGGGGAAUAUUGGGCAAUGGGCGAAAGCCUGAUCCAGCAAUGCCGCGUGUGUGAAGAAGGUCUUCGGAUUGUAAAGCACUUUUAGUUGGGAGGAAGGGCAGUAAGUUAAUACCUUGCUGUUUUGACGGUACCAACAGAAUAAGCACCGGCUAACUUCGUG
Molecule: ribosomal RNA, 484 nt
Filed under: uncultured bacterium
Lineage: Bacteria
Description: partial 16S ribosomal RNA
Rfam family: Bacterial small subunit ribosomal RNA
Source: RNAcentral